RNAcentral lists this ribosomal RNA (369 nucleotides) under uncultured soil bacterium. RNAcentral describes it as "bacterial SSU rRNA". It matches the Rfam family "Bacterial small subunit ribosomal RNA", at positions 26 to 376 of the family's 1533-position model. The record is from RNAcentral.
AGAUUGAACGCUGGCGGAAUGCUUUGCACAUGCAAGUCGAACGGCAGCACGGGGUAACCCUGGUGGCGAGUGGCGAACGGGUGAGUAAUACAUCGGAACGUGCCCAGUCGUGGGGGAUAACGUAGCGAAAGCUACGCUAAUACCGCAUACGAACUCUGGUUGAAAGCGGGGGACUCGCAAGAGCCUCGCGCGAUUGGAGCGGCCGAUGGGCAGAUUUAGGUAGUUUGGGUGGGGUAAAAGGCUCACCGAAGCCUGCGAUCUGUAGCUGGUCUGAGAGGACCGACCAGCCCACACGUGGGACUGACGACCGACGGCCCAGACCUACCGUACGGGAGGCAGUCGAAGGUGGGGUAAUUUUUCGGGACAAGU